UUAGGGGGGCUAAAAUUGUGUUUCUCGUGUAACGGGAGACCUCAAAAUGCAAAAUUUCCAUUUGAGUAUAUACUCUAGAAACUAGCGCAUGUUAUUUUUAUUGUUUAUUUCAGAAAGAGUGGUCAUAUUGCAAGCGAGUAAUCCAUUUAGCAUAUCAAAUACUUUUUUGAGAACUUAAUGCCGAAAAAUACUUUUCAAUGUUUCUGAUGUAAAAAGUAAAUAGUAAAUAUUUUCAAAGUGUACUUUGAAGUGGACACUUAAUGUUUAAAUAGAAACCACAAAUAAUACAUAAAUUAAGUAGAAAUUUUAGCAAUAACAUAAAAUAAGAUUUAAUGAAAGCAAUGCAUGGUGUGUCACAACGUAAUAUUUGGGGGGUCACCAAAUUCAUCUACAAAAUACAAUAAUGGCCAUACUUUUCAUUAUUUUUUAUAUUAUUGCUAAUCAUUCUUUCUAAACAUAAAACUAUAUGUAAUGGCUACCAGAAAAAAUCUUUAGAAAGGUAAUAUGCAUUCUACACCCAAAAGUCGGUGUUUCCCAUGUAAGCCAUUUAGGCCGGGGGACACCAAACCUUACAUGGCAUGUAGUAACAAUAUCUUUUGAUUGUCAUUUUCUCUGAAAAUUAAUAUGGGUUUUUCUGUACCUUUUUCGUAUCAAUAGACAAAUCAUUUUUUUAGAUUGUUCUUUGGGCCUGAUAGCGCCAUCAUAAAAUGAUGAAAAGUGUCCCUGACUGACACAUACACACCCGAUCACGAAAAGAAAACAAAAAUAGGUUAGAAAUGAAAAUGAAAGUCAUGUAUUUUAUAUAAACUGCGUAGACAGGAUUUAAUUUUGGAGGGGUGGUAAGUGCACGCGAAGCGUGCCAACACUUACAGAGCGCGCGAAGCGCACUCUCGAAGGAAAGGGUGUAGGGAAGUUCUUGAUAUCUCAUUAAUUUAAUAUGAAAAGAAGACAUCUCUUGCAUCUCUAGUAUCCUUAUCAACUCGCCCCCACUUGCUGUGAUUAAAACAAAUGUAUUUGAAAGAAAUUACGAGCUUCCCCAAAUUAAUGGGAAAAGAUUUUUAAAACCGUUGAAUGAUAUAAUACCGCACGAAGCGCGGAAGCUAAAACGUUUUAUAAAAUUGAGAACAGAAGUGGCAUAAAAUGCUACCUUGGUCGCAUCAUAUUUGAUGAUGAAAACUUUAGCCACAGUAGAUGUCUUUAGAUCACAAAUAGUAGAAGACGGGUAUGCAAUGAGGAAAUAUUCCUUUCCGCGAAUGGUUUUGAAGCUCUGAAUUGAAACUUUAACCUGCUCUAAUUUUGAUAUUUCUUAGAUUAUAAAUGGAUAACGAUGAAAAAGGAAGCUCAAAAUGUGAAAGGGCCCAGUGAUGCAAGCCAGACUAUGAGAGGGACUUUUCAUUUCCCUUCCACGUGAAAUACGGUAACAUCUGUGAUUUAUUUCGGGAGAAUUAUUAAUUAUGAUUCAGAAAGUUCAGUGAUAUUCAAAAUUUCAAAUCAAUCGCACAAAACAAGACAGGAGAUGGGUGUAACAGCGAUACAGAAUAAAGUUUCAUCGUACAUAUAGCACGGCACGAAUUUAUAAUGCCUCGAGCCCCUUUUGAGCAGAUACUUUGCCACAAAUUACUCACUGAAAAGUUGGAAGAUAUCAUAAUAAUUAUGGGAACUCUGGGAGUGGCGGGAGUGUUGACCCGCUCCGAACAGAAGAGCCGAAAUUUUGUGUCAAUGCAAUUUAAAAAAGAAUCAUCAUAUUUUUUCUUAAAUUUAUGUAUACUCUAUAAUUUAUGGCAAGAAUAUACAAUUCCCAUAGAUGGGAAGGGGAAAAACCGUAUCAUAUAGUUUGGAUAGAGCUCGAAAGCAAUUUUUUUAAUGAAUUAUAAGAGAGAAAACUGAACGUCUCAUUUAGGUUUUUAUUCUUUUGACAAAAAAAAUACCAAAAGAGAAAACAUUAGGGCUGUACCCAUCUUCCCUCUCUUCGCUUUUCCUUUUCCUUUCUUCUUCCCUUUUCCUCUCUUAUUCUUUUUAGAGCGUUUUUUUGUUGGGGGGGGCGACCACCCCCAUCGCUUCCCCCUGGCUACGCGCCUGUUUUAUUAUGGUGCUCCUCGUUUGAGGUAAAUCUUAAACGGAAUUCCUAAAACCUUCACCAAUAUUUUUUUCGACUGCUUUUACAACAAACUUUUCUUCAGGGAGAACUUUCCCUUCUUUUAAAAAGGUAUACACUUUCCAACACACACCCGCUCCCAUCUAUUACGGACAUGCACAUAUACAUGUACCUUCUUAAUGGAUUUAACAUAUAUUUGGAUGUGAAUAAGAAUUGUUUAGAACUAGGUGAGAUAAUCGAUAGUGAUAGAGUAUUAGAAGAAGAAAUAGAAGAAAUAAAAAACAAAGUUGAAGAUAUUUUCAAUCGCCAGUUCUUAUUGGAUUUACGUAAUGAUCGAGCAAAUGAUGUUGAACAAAAUAAAUUGAUAACUUAAGUUUUUAAACAGAACAUACAAACAGAGAAAUAUCUAUUAACUGUUAAAAAUCAGAAAAUACGGAAAAACAUCUGUCGAUUCAGAAUAAGUUCCCAUAAUUUACCCAUUGAAACUGGAAGACAUAGACGUCCAGAUUAAAUACCCUCACAUUUAAGAACGUGCAAUAAUUGUAAUUCAGGAAGGGUUGGGGAUGAGUAUCACACGAUAAUAGAAUGUUAUGUACACACAACUGAAAGGGUGGUGUUUUUUGACAAAAUAGCUGAAAUGUAUAUACAGUUUAAGAAACUUAGCGAUGAAGACAAAUUUAUAUUCAUAAUGAAACUUGAUAAUGAAAACAUAAUUGAUAAUUCUUGUAAGUUCUUCAAUGCGAUUAUAAAUAAGAGGGGUGAGUUUUAACAUCAAGUACAUUUUAUUUUCUUUUUAAAUUUCAUUCAAAAUAUCUAAAAUCCACCAAAGCCACCAUUACCAAAGAUAUAUCUCUAACGUUAUACAUUUAUUUACUUCCUGAUUUGUAUUCGAUAAUAACUUAUGUAUAUUGCAUUAUGCUACACCUUCUUUAUGUUAAAUUUCAAUUCGUCAUUUCUCUUUGUAUAUAUAUAGAUAUAUCUUUAUAAUAAUUGGAAAUCUAUGUAUUGAUGUAUUGCUGAUUUAUACGACAUACAUGUACAGUUAUGAAUGUUUUUGUUUAUGUUAUCAUUGUAGGCCUAUAUAUUUUAAAACAAAAUAUUCAUGCCAUAUGAAUGAAGUUUGUUAAUAAAUUCAAAUUCAAAAUUCAUGUACGGAACCGUACAUCAUGUAUAUAGGUCCAUGAUCAUGAUAGGUCCAUGAUCAUACCAUGGAGGUAGACCAGUAACAUACAAAGAAAAAAAUACGAGACACAAUACAAACGCACCCUCACACACACCAUGGACCUAUAUGUUCAGCACACACACACACUGGACGACGGCGCCCCUGUCCACCCUAUAGAUACCCUAUGCCCACGGCCACACGAUAGUACGCGUGCAAGAAGCUUGAUUUCGCAAUCAAUCGCACGUGUGUUUUGUUUGUACACAAAGCUGACGUUGGGCAUCACAACACUGCACUGCUUAAUAAUUGCAUCUCGAAAUCUAAACUGUUCACUCGUAAAUCUAAGUACUUUUCAUUCAGCACACAUUUGCAAUGUGGACUAAAUUUAAACGAAGAAGAAUAUACGAUGGCGACGAAGCGCGACAUCUUUUCGAAGCUCUCUAUUUUACAGAAGAGGAAAAUGCUGCAACAAGUGAAGAGGCCGCGCCACCAGUUUACGGGCCGGAGUACGGCUUAGCCUUAGGCGGGGACGACUCCCAGGCCAGGAGUCGAGUUUUUGCGAUUUGACAUCAGCUACGGGUUUGAAGAUUGCAACAAGCAACGACGUUGUUCGAGCAGAUCCCGUUGGCGAAGAGAGAGAUCAACCCUCCCGAGGAAGAAAACGUCUGAUGGUUUAUUUUGUUGACAGAGAGACAGAGUCUGACUCCUCUCAUUGCUCUGAAGCUGUAUCACGUACCUGUAGAAGGAACUUCAGCAAAAAGCGAAAUGCAGCCGGUCUGGAAUUAGCGGCAAUACUGAGGAUGAAAUGCUGCAGAAGUUAUUGUCUUCAUAAGAUAUCAAGAAUAGAUGCAAGCAAGGCCCGCAGAAGAUUUCAGAACAAUACUCUAGCAGAUCAGAGGCUAUGGAUUUUGCAGUACCUUAUUGAACAUCACAACUUUGUAAACAUGGAUGGAGACUCAUCCUUGGGAUUACUAGGACCCGCUUAUGGAAGAUGGAGUCAGGAUUAGCAGAAGGAUUGGUGACAUCUCGUCCAUCAAAUCACCAUCAUAAAGGACUUUUUUGUCUGUGAUGACGUCAAUGGUGUGGCUUAGUGAAUUUGUCGAUAAGUUUGGAGAGAAACUGCCAACCAACAACAAAAUCCAUCUUCCAUCAUGCCUUACACGUGGAAAUGUGUAUUGGAUUAUGAAGGAGGAAGUAGAAGAGCAAGGAGGUUCUGUUUGUAGUCAGCAAUACUUCUUCCGCAAAUGGAGACAGGAAAUGUCUCAUGUUACCAUUCCAAAGGUGAACCUUUUUUACGAAAUGCAACAUAUGCACCAAACUGAAAUCUUGCCUAGAGAAGACAACUGGCAGAGAAGAGAGACAAACUUUACUGCAAGAAAGAGAGUCACACCUUUUCCAGCAAAAGUAAAGGUAGGAUUUUUGUCUCACCUGCAUAGCAGAGUGAGACUAUAGGCGCCGCUUUUCCGACGGCGACGGCGGCGGCGACGGCGGCGGCGACGGCGGCGGCGGCGGCGACGGCGGCGUCAACACCAAAUCUUAACCUGAGGUUAAGUUUUUGAAAUGACAGCAUAACUUAGAAAGUAUAUGGACCUAGUUCAUGAAACUUGGCCAUAAGGUUAAUCAAGUAUUACUGAACAUCCUGCCUGAGUUUCAUGUCACAUGACCAAGGUCAAAGGUCAUUUAGGGUCAAUGAACUUAGACCAUGUUGGGGGAAUCAACAUCAAAAUCUUAACCUAAGGUUAAGUUUUUGAAAUGUCAUCAUAACUUAGAAAAUAUAUGGACCUAGUUCAUGAAACUUAUACAUAAGGUUAAUCAAGUAUCACUGAACAUCCUGCAUGAGUUUCACAUCACAUGACCAAGGUCAAAGGUCAUUUAGGGUCAAUGAACUUUGGCCGAAUUGGGGGUAUCUGUUGAAUUACCAUCAUAACUUUGAAAGUUUAUGGAUCUGAUUCAUGAAACUUGGACAUAAUAAUAAUCAAGUAUUACUGAACAUCCUGUGCAAGUUUCAGGUCACAUGAUCAAGGUCAAAGGUCAUUUAGGGUCAAUGAACUUUGGCCAAAUUGGGGUAUUUGUUGAAUUACAGCCAUAAAUUUGAAAGUGUGUUGGUCUAGUUCAUAAAACUUGGACAUAAUAGUAAUCAAGUAUCACUGAACAUCCUGUGCGAGUUUCAGGUCACAUGAUCAAGGUCAAAGGUCAUGUAAGGUCAAAGAACUUUGGCCACGUUGGGGGUAUUUGUUGAAUUGCCAUCAUAUCUCUAUAAGUGUAUUGGUCUACUUCAUAAAACGUGGAAAUAAGAGUAACCAAGUAUCACUGAACAUCUUGUGCGAGUUAUAGUAGUUUUCAAAAUUAGCACUGCUGCUAUAUUGAAUCGCGUGAUGCAGGUGAGACGGCCAGAGGCAUUCCACUUGUUAAUGAAGGGCCACGCACACGAGGACAUUGACCAGCUAUUCACCCGGGUUUCAACAUGCAUAACACGGCAAAACAUACCAACACUUUCAUCUCUGCUUCAUCAUAUCCCACUCUCUUAUCGAAAACCAAAUACCACAUCGGAAAGACUCAACGCAGUCUACAAUGUGAGAGACUGGCUCAAACCUUGCCUGAACAAGAUGUCACUGCACAGCUUUCCACAUCAAUUUAGAAUCACAAAACACAAUGGAAAAGCUGUGAACAUUACACACCAAGAAGUGGAGCAACAGCAGUGAAUGGCAGGCUACAACUGGAUGGGAUAACAUCAUCACACAUCACCCUCCAGGCCAACCAUCCAUUGUCCAUAAAGUACAUGAUGCUAUUACACUUACCAACCUCCAACGGGAUAUGCCAAAGUAUGCCCCCUACUUUAGUAUUGAAGAAAGACAGGAAUGGGAGAAUCUGCUAGCUAGCAUGGAGGAAGGUGGAAUAGAAAACUCUGGUAAAUGGCCACUGGUGGAUAUAUUGAUGGAUAAAGAGUCUCAGAAUACACCACAAAGACAUCUUGAUCCAACUUCGGAAUUCUCAAAUGAUGAACAGCAACCUAUUCAAGCGGUCCAUCUAGGUACUAAGCAGAAAAGGCCUCAACAGCCAGUAUUAAAACUGGGAGAUAUGGUUGCAGUCUACUUAGAAGAGUUCAGUAAUGAGUGGCCGCGAGUGAGCAAAGUGUUGGAAAUGACUUGAGACAGUGUGAAGCUGCAUUGGUACUCAGGAUCAGAAACGUCCACGUGGAUAUCACCUACCACAUCAGUUCAAGGACAGAAGGGUCAGCCGUACACAGGAGAAGUCUCUCUUCAAGAAGUCAUUUCUUUCCCCUACAGUCUCACUAAAACAAACAAAUUACCAUAGGAUAUCCAGUGUCACUUGAAGGAAAAACGUGAAGAAUACUUUGCAUAUUAGGUCUGUAUGAACAUACACUGUAUUCAUACCAAUUUGGAAUGAGUUUGUUUGUCCAGGACUCAAAAGCUGUAUGUCUAUAUGGAAGCCACUUGAAUUAUGUAUUUUUGUGAUAUUACAAUGUACCUAUAUGUUUCCACAUUGGACAUGGUGCCCGGGGGGGCCACUUACAUUGACGAGUGGAUACCAUGCGCGACCAAAAAAACAUGUAAACAGGAUGUCUUAUUCAAGAUUGGGCACGUUACGUACGUAACAAGGGUGUCAAAAACACAAAAAUAAUGGAAAAAGGGUAUCUAUUUCGCUAGGAAAGUUACGUGUUUAGGGUCAAAUUUGCGGGAAUGAUGAAACAAAAUUAAAAUGUUUUAUAAAGGAUGUCCUCUUUGCCCCAACACUACGUGUUUAGAGUCCGAUUUGCGCGAGGUGUGGAAGGUGGGGCCGUGCACCAAAUGGUGUGUAAAGGUAAAACCGACGACCGACGGACCCGUGACAUAACAUAUCGCUGUACUUGUUUAGGGGUUCAUUUCAGGGAAUACUUGCCAAGAGUGUUGAUUUGUUACCAAUACUUGUUAAGGGUAGGGUUUCAGACGCCAAUACUUGUUAAGGGGUGCAUUUUCAGAAUAUGGAAAAUACUUGUUUAGGGUGCUUUUCGAGACCCCAUGGUCGCGCAUGGUAUCCACUCGUCAAUGGAAGUGGCCCCCCUGGGAUAUGGUGAUAAUUUCCAGGGUUUAUCUUCACAUAAUUUUGAUCACCUACAUGUAUCUACAUUUAGAAGAGAUAAAUGCACAAUGGUUGAUAGAGAGUUGGUACCUGAAGUAGGUAAUGAAUUAAGUUCCACUGCCAAUGGAAAGUUUACCCUCUCAGUGCUCAAGAGGUAAGCUCCUUACCAUGGAACUCAAUAUGCAACAUUUGCGUAUACUGAACAGGCACAAAUAACGAUUUUCUGUAAUGGCACAUGUCGGUUAUCUCUCAAACAAAAAUUUUAAGUCAGACUAUGUGAGAAAGAAAUUAUACAUCAACUGGAACCAUCUGAAAACCUUUCAUUGAUUGCAUAGUGCAAUAUAGUUGAAUGAGUUUUAUUGUCUUGCCUGCCUAGCUGAGUGAGACAAUAGGGGUCACUUUUCCGACAGCGGCAGUGUCGUCAACAUUGAAAUCUUAACCAAGUGGUAAUUCCAUAAAAUAUGUACGUCCGACCCCCUAUAUGUGGGACUUUCAUGAAAUUUUCUGUCUCUGAUUUCUGGUUCUCUUGACAGUCUGUAAUGUUCUAUAACGUCCAUGAUUCCGUCAGUUUAUGAAGUGAAGUAAGACUUGAGAAAAAUGGGGGUCGGAUGUACAAAAAGGCUUAUCAUUUUAUGGAAUUUCCCCAAGGUUAAGUUUUUGUCUCGCCUGCAUAGCAGAGUGAGACUAUAGGCGCCGCUUUUUCGACGGCGGCGGCGUCGUCAACAUUGAAAUCUUAACCAAGGUUAAGUUUUUGAAAUGUCAUCAUAACUUAGAAAGUAUAUGGGCCUAGUUCAUGAAACUUGAACAAGGGUAAUCAAGUAUGACUAAACAUCCUGCUUGAGUUUCAGGUCACAUGACCAAGGUCAAAGGUCAUUUAGGGUCAAUGAACUUAUACCAUGUUGGGGGAAUCAAUAUCAAAAUUUUAACCAAGGUCCACUUUUUGAAAUGUUGUCAUAACUUUGAAAGUAUAUGGACCUAGUUCAUAAAACUUAGACAUAAGGGUAAUAGUGUAUCACUAAAGAUCCUGCUUGAGUUUCAGGUCACAUGAUUAAGGUCAAAGGUCACUUAGGGUCAAACUAUGGCCAUGUAGGGGUUAUUUGAGGAAUUAUCAUCAUAACUUUUAAACUUUAUGGAUCUAGUUCAUGAAACUUGGACAUAAGAGCAACCAUGUAUCCCUGAAUAUCAUGUGUGAGUUUCAGGUCACAUGACUAAGGUCAAAGGUCACUUAGGGUCAACGAACUUUGGCCAUAUUGGGGGUAUAGGAGGAAUUGUCAUCAUCCUAAGAAUACUGGGGGGGGGGGCUGAAUUGAUUCAGCCCCCCCUCGACAUUUUUCGCGAUAAAUCCGCCGCUCGAUAUUUUUUGACCGCGUCGUUCACUGACUUUUUACUUUCAAGUCUCGCGCAACUUUUAAGACCAAAAUUGUGACCCCCGGGUACGCGGUUCCGAAAUUACGCAACAUUUCGUAAGUGCAUGCAGACCCAAAAUUACUCAAAAACGUGAAUUUGUGUGCAAAUCCAAUGCAAAUAAUGUUUUUAGCCAAAAUUCAUAAAAUGUAUCAUUAUUUUUCCUUUUACUGCUUAAAAUCAAUUAAUUUUAUCUUGCUUACGGUCAAAAUAAAGUCCCCGACAAUUUCCAUUGAAAAAACAAUAAAAAACAAAAAGUCAAAAAACAGAGAAAUACAUAAGAAAUUUAGAAAACAAUAGAAUACAUAAGAAAAUAAAUGUGAUGUUAAAAUUUUUGAAAAAUAAAUUUGAUCAGAUGCCUAUCUUGAGUCUGUGAAACAAAAAUUAGAAUUUUAGGGGCAUUAUUUUAUUAAUUAGAGCAUGCAAACUUAUGAUUUUACGCAUAAAUUAGCAUAAUUAAUGAGCAAUGAGAUUUUUCGCAAAAUUUGAUAUUAUAGUUUUGUAGAUAAUGCCAUGGGUAAGGGGCGUGCCAAUUUUCGUCGUGAUCGCGCGAUCGACGGCCGAGAUCAUAAGGAGGGGCUGAAUCAGCCCCCCCCCCCCCCCCCGAGUCUUCUUAGGCGUCGAAAUAGCCCAGUCUAUUUAGGGUUAAAGUCUAUGGAUCUAGUUCAUGAAACUUUGACAUAAGAGCAGCAAUGUAUCCCUGAAUACCCUGUGUGCGUUUUAGGAACAUAGCCAAGAUCAAAGGUCAUUUAAAGGUCAAUGAACUCUGGCUAUGUUGGGAGUAUGUGUUGAAUUGGCAUCAUAACUUAGGAAGUUUAUGGAUCUAGCUCAUGAAACAUCGACAGAAGGGUAAUCAAGUAUGAAUGAUUGUUUUGCACAUGUCUUAGGUCACAUGAUCAUGGUCAAAUGUCAUUUUGGGUCAAUGGACAUAGUAUUUUAUUUUCGUAUAUACGUAUUAGUGUUUUCUUCUGUGAAUAAUUAUUCAUUAGCUGUUUUCAAAGGAAGCACUGCUGCUAUAUCGAAUUGCGUAAUGCAGGCGAGACUGCCAGAGGCGUUCCACUUGUUGAAAUGUCAUCAUAACUUACAAAGUGUAUAGACCCAGUUCAUGAAACUUAUGAGUGAAAUCAAGUAUUACUGAGCAUCCUGCCUGAGUUUCAGGUCACAUGACCAGGGUCAAAAGUCAUUUAGGGUCAAUGAACUUAGACCAUGUUAGGGGAAAGAAUAUCGAAAUCUUAACCUCGAGUAUAUAUAUUUAUUUAUUUCUUCUGUUUUUCAUUGUUGUUGAUGUAGUUGAUGUAAUGGUGUAGCUUUGAAAUAAAGAUAAAUUUAUCCUCGUGUAGCCUUGAAAUUAAGAUAAAUUUAUCCUCGUGUAGCUUUGAAAUUAGGAUAAAUUUAUCCUCAUGUAGCCUUGAAAUUAGGAUAAAUUUAUCCUCGUGUUGCCUUGAAAUUAGGAUAAAUUUAUCCUCGUGUAGCUUUGAAAUUAAGAUAAAUUUAUCCUCAUGUAGCUUUGAAAUUAAGACAAAUUUAUCCUCAUGUAGCCUUGAAAUUAGGAUAAAUUUAUCCUCAUGUAGCCUUGAAGUUAGGAUAAAUUUAUCCUCAUGUAGUCUUGAAAUUAAGAUAAAUUUAUCCUCGUGUAGCCUUGAAAUUAGGAUAAAUUUAUCCUCGUGUAGCUUUGAAAUUAAGAUAAAUUUAUCCUCAUGUAGCCUUGGAAUUAAGAUAAAUUUAUCCUCGUGUAGCUUUGAAAUUAGGAUAAAUUUAUCCUCGUGUAGCCUUGAAAUAAGGAUAAAUUUAUCCUCGUGUAGCUUUGAAAUUAAGAUAAAUUUAUCCUCAUGUAGCUUUGAAAUUAAGAUAAAUUUAUUGUCAUGUAGCCUUGAAAUUAAGAUAAAUUUAUCCUCAUGUAGCCUUGAAAUUAAGAUAAAUUUAUCCUAGUGUAGCCUUGAAAUUAGGAUAAAUAUAUCCUCGUGUAGCCUUGAAAUUAGGAUAAAUUUAUCCUCGUGUAGCUUUGAAAUUAAGAUAAAUUUAUCGUCAUGUAGCCUUGAAAUUAAGAUAAAUUUAUCCUUGUGUAGCUUUGAAAUUAAGAUAAAUUUAUCCUCCUGAAGCUUUGAAAUUAAGAUAAUUUUAUCCUCAUGUAGCCUUGAAAUUAAGAUUAAUUUAUCCUCGUGUAGCUUUGAAAUUAAGAUAAAUUUAUCCUCGUGUAGCCUUGAAAUUAAGAUAAAUUUAUCUUCGUGUAGCCUUGAAAUUAGGAUAAAUUUAUCCUCAUGUAGCCUUGAAAUUAAGAUGAAUUUAUCCUCGUGUAGCUUUAAAAUUAGGAUAAAUUUAUCCUCGUGUAGCUUUGAAAUUAAGAUAAAUUUAUCCUCAUGUAGCUUUGAAAUUAAGAUAAAUUUAUCCUUGCGUAGCCUUUAAAUUAGGAUAAAUUUAUCCUCAUGUAGCCUUGAAAUUAGGAUAAAUUUAUCCUCAUGAAGCCUUGAAAUUAAGAUAAAUUUAUCCUCUUGUAGCCAUGAAAUUAAGAUAAAUGUAUCCUCGUGUAGCUUUGAAAUUAGGAUAAAUUUAUCCUCGUGUAGCUUUGAAAUUAAGAUAAAUUUAUCCUUGUGUAGCUUUGAAAUUAAGAUAAAUUUAUCCUCAUGUAGCUUUCAAAUUAAGAUAAAUUUAUCCUCAUGUAGCCUUGAAAUUAAGAUAAAUUUAUCCUCAUGUUGCCUUGAAGUUAGGAUAAAUUUAUCCUCAUGUAGACUGAAAUUAAGAUAAAUUUAUCCUCGUGUAGCCUUGAAAUUAGGAUAAAUUUAUCCUCGUGUAGCCUUGAAAUUAAGAUGAAUUUAUCCUCGUGUAGCCUUGAAAUUAAGAUGAAUUUAGCCUCAUGUAGCCUUGAAAUUAAGAUAAAUUCAUCCUCAUGUUGACUUGAAGUUAGGAUAAAUUUAUCCUCAUGUAGACUGAAAUUAAGAUAAAUUUAUCCUCGUGUAGCCUUGAAAUUAGGAUAAAUUUAUCCUCGUGUAGCCUUGAAAUUAAGAUAAAUUUAUCCUUGUGUAGCUUUGAAAUUAAGAUGAAUUUAUCCUUGCGUAGUCUUGAAAUUAGGAUAAAUUUAUCCUCGUGAAGCUUUGAAAUUAAGAUAAAUUUAUCCUCAUGUAGCUUUGAAACGAAGAUAAAUUUAUCCUCAUGUAGCUUUGAAAUUAGGAUAAAUUUAUCCUCGUGUAUUCUUGAAAUUAGGAUGAAUUCAUCCUCAUGAAGCCUUGAAAUUAAGAUAAAUUUAUCCUCGUGUAUCCUUGAAAUUAAGAUAAAUUUAUCCUCGUGUAGCCUUGAAAUUAGGAUAAAUUUAUCCUCGUGAAGCUUUGAAAUUAAGAUUAAUUUAUCCUCAUGUAGCUUUGAAAUUAAGAUAAAUUUAUCCUCAUGUAGCCUUGAAAUUAAGAUAAAUUUAUCCUCGUGUAGCUUUGAAAUUAAGAUAAAUUUAUCCUCGCGUAGCCUUGAAAUUAGGAUUAAUUUAUCCUCGUGAAGAUUGAAAUUAAGAUAAAUUUAUCCUCAUGUAGCUUUGAAACGAAGAUAAAUUUAUCCUCAUGUAGCUUUGAAAUUAGGAUAAAUUUAUCCUCAUGAAGCCUUGAAAUUAAGAUAAAUUUAUCCUCGUGUAUCCUUGAAAUUAAGAUAAAUUUAUCCUCGUGUAGCCUUGAAAUUAGGAUAAAUUUAUCCUCGUGAAGCUUUGAAAUUAGGAUAAAUUUAUCCUCGUGUAGCCUUGAAAUUAGGAUAAAUUUAUCCUCAUGUAGCUUUGAAAUUAAGAUAAAUUUAUCCUUGCGUAGCCUUGAAAUUAGGAUAAAUUUAUCCUCGUGAAGCUUUGAAAUUAAGAUAAAUUUAUCCUCAUGUAGCUUUGAAAUUAAGAUAAAUUUAUCCUCAUGUAGCCUUGAAAUUAAGAUAAAUUUAUCCUCGUGUAGCUUUGAAAUUAAGAUAAAUUUAUCCUCGCGUAGCCUUGAAAUUAGGAUAAAUUUAUCCUCGUGAAGAUUGAAAUUAAGAUAAAUUUAUCCUCAUGUAGCUUUGAAACGAAGAUAAAUUUACCCUCAUGUAGCUUUGAAAUUAGGAUAAAUUUAUCCUCAUGAAGCCUUGAAAUUAAGAUAAAUUUAUCCUCGUGUAUCCUUGAAAUUAAGAUAAAUUUAUCCUCGUGUAGCCUUGAAAUUAGGAUAAAUUUAUCCUCGUGAAGCUUUGAAAUUAGGAUAAAUUUAUCCUCGUGUAGCCUUGAAAUUAGGAUAAUUUUAUCCUCAUGUAGCUUUGAAAUUAAGAUAAAUUUAUCCUUGCGUAGCCUUGAAAUUAGGAUAAAUUUAUCCUCGUGAAGCUUUGAAAUUAAGAUAAAUUUAUCCUCAUGUAGCUUUGAAAUUAAGAUAAAUUUAUCCUCAUGUAGCCUUGAAAUUAAGAUAAAUUUAUCCUCGUGUAGCUUUGAAAUUAAGAUAAAUUUAUCCUCGCGUAGCCUUGAAAUUAGGAUAAAUUUAUCCUCGUGAAGCUUUGAAAUUAAGAUAAAUUUAUCCUCAUGUAGCUUUGAAAUUAAGAUAAAUUUAUCCUCAUGUAGCCUUGAAAUUAAGAUAAAUUUAUCCUCGUGUAGCUUUGAAAUUAAGAUAAAUUUAUCCUCGCGUAGCCUUGAAAUUAGGAUAAAUUUAUCCUCGUGAAGAUUGAAAUUAAGAUAAAUUUAUCCUCAUGUAGCUUUGAAACGAAGAUAAAUUUACCCUCAUGUAGCUUUGAAAUUAGGAUAAAUUUAUCCUCAUGAAGCCUUGAAAUUAAGAUAAAUUUAUCCUCGUGUAUCCUUGAAAUUAAGAUAAAUUUAUCCUCGUGUAGCCUUGAAAUUAGGAUAAAUUUAUCCUCGUGAAGCUUUGAAAUUAGGAUAAAUUUAUCCUCGUGUAGCCUUGAAAUUAGGAUAAAUUUAUCCUCAUGUAGCUUUGAAAUUAAGAUAAAUUUAUCCUUGCGUAGCCUUGAAAUUAGGAUAAAUUUAUCCUCGUGAAGCUUUGAAAUUAAGAUAAAUUUAUCCUCAUGUAGCUUUGAAAUUAAGAUAAAUUUAUCCUCAUGUAGCCUUGAAAUUAAGAUAAAUUUAUCCUCGUGUAGCUUUGAAAUUAAGAUAAAUUUAUCCUCGCGUAGCCUUGAAAUUAGGAUAAAUUUAUCCUCGUGAAGCUUUGAAAUUAAGAUAAAUUUAUCCUCGUGUAGCUUUGAAACGAAGAUAAAUUUAUCCUCAUGUAGCUUUGAAAUUAGGAUAAAUUUAUCCUCAUGAAGCCUUGAAAUUAAGAUAAAUUUAUCCUUGUGUAUCCUUGAAAUUAAGAUAAAUUUAUCCUCGUGCAGCCUUGAAAUUAGGAUAAAUUUAUCCUCGUUUAGCCUUGAAAUUAGGAUAAACUUAUCCUCGUGUAGCCUUGAAAUUAGGAUAAAUUUAUCCUCCUGUAGUAUUAGCAGGAUGAACUAAUCCUUAUAAUUGUAAUAUAUUUGUAUGAUAUAUUUAUUUGAUCUGUUAUUCCUAUUAAAUGGUUGUAUUAAUUGAAA
Molecule: RNA transcript, 14228 nt
Organism: Lytechinus pictus (painted urchin)
Lineage: Eukaryota; Metazoa; Echinodermata; Echinoidea; Temnopleuroida; Toxopneustidae
Exons: 8
Source: RefSeq, a predicted model, not a curated record